GUGGCCUGGUGCGCAGGCGCGCGCGGGGAGCCACCCCGCCCCUUCCCGCCGCGCGUGCGCGCUGUCCGAGCGGGCCGGCCACACCCCCUUCCCCUGAGGCUCCCGGCUCGGGGGCCUCGGUCUGGGGGUGGGAACCCUGGGCUUGGGUCCGCGGGGUCGGCGUCCCUCCCGAGGGGCCCAGGUCCGCACGCCCACCGUGGCCACCGCCACCGUGAGCCACAGCGGCUGCACCGAGGCCCCGCACCGGCCCAGGGUGCAGCAGUGGGCGUUCCCGCGGCGCCGGGGCUGCAGGAACCGAGCUUGGGACACGCCACAGGCCUGCUCCCCGGCCACCCCUCCGCGGGUCAGAGACUGCCGCCGUGCUGGGAGCUGACCCCCGGCUCGCACACCCGCGCUCGCGAGAUGCCCGGGUCCCACCCUCCGCGAUGCACAUGUCCGGGGAUCAGGACGAGGUGAAGGUUCUCCUGGGGUAAAACCUUGUUUCUUUGCCUUUGACUUCGCAAAAGCCCCGGAAACUGAUAAAUUGUUUACUGCGUUAUUCAUGACCGUUGGCCCAGGAAGGUAUUUUGUAGAAUCAUUUAUAGGGUUUAUAUUCUAUGAUCCGGUAGAAAGAGAAAGAAGACGCUGAUUGUGGUCUGGCCGCUCAGUUAAGAACGUUCUCAGGACAGCAGGACCAGACGUGUGUCUCGAUUUCAGGGAAGAGCUACACCGCCGGUAUAGACCCCCACGUGGGCGAGAGGGGCGGGAUGGCCUCCAGGCACCUGACCAGCAUCACGGGCUAAGCAAUGUGAAAGCGAUCCCUACCGGUAACGUCUGCUAGUAUGUCUGGUCAGAGAGACCAGAGACGGUGUGGAGGGGUGUGCCUUGAGGCUCCUUCCCUGAGUCUGUACUGAUGAACACUGUCUCUUAGUUCCUGGCUUAAGAAAACAGGUUAAGACACACCAGGGGAAGCAACAAAUGACAGAUGUAAGACCAAGCAAGAUGAGCGUGGCCAGCUGCAGUGCUAAGCUAAGACUAACAAAAAGGAACUUUGCUGGGUUUACUGUUAAGUCCCAUGUUUAAGUUCCAAGAAAACACCUGCUUCAGUUCCGAGGUGGGAAGCCCGACUUGGCAGUCGCUCAAGUCAGAACGCUGGAAGAUGGAUCAUGGACAGGUAUCAGGAUGUCAGACGGUGGAAGUGGAAGAACUAGAAAAGGAGCCCUGACUUGCAUGGGGUUAUUAAAGGAAUGGCAGUGUUUCAGCACCUGCUCCGUGGAAGGCGCCAUUACUGGAGGCGUCCAGUAGGUGCCUCAGGGCGUCCUUGUCAUCGGCGUUGAUGGCGUAGACCAGGGCCGAAGCCCCCGUGCGGUCCUCGAGGCUGGGGUCCGCGCCGUUCUCCAGAAGCAGGGACACCACGUCGCCCCCCGCCCUCCGGAUGCAGGCGUGGAUGAGCGCCGUCUUGCCGGACUUGUCCUGGAUGUUGGGGUCUGCCCUCUGGUCCAGCAGGAGGAGCCUGGUCAGCCUGAGCCUCCCCAGCCACACCGCCUUCAGGAGGGAGUUCCCAUCCGUCCUUAGCUCCGUGUCGUCAUCCAUCACCCCGGCCUCGGCAGUGCCUCCGGGCCACCACGGCGAUCAGACCUAGCGAGGGAGAAGGGAGAGGGAUGACGUGUGCUCUGCAGGCGGCCAGAGUGCUGUGGCUGGUGCGGGGCCGCGUGCCGCCGGAUCCCACCAGGUUACCCAGCUCGUCCGUAUCCGUCUGUCGUGUGUGUGGGGUCGGGGGACGGUGGCCGCCCCUCACAGAGCCAGCACAGAGGUCAAACAAGAGCACAUACGAGAACCCUUCCCCACGGCGAAGCCGCAGACACAAGCCCAGUGCGUGGUAAGCAAGACAGAUGGCCGUCACUUACCUCAAAU
Long non-coding RNA from Lutra lutra (Eurasian river otter), 1893 nucleotides. RefSeq lists it as uncharacterized. The record is from RefSeq and is a predicted model, not a curated record. NCBI's taxonomy places the organism in Eukaryota, Metazoa, Chordata, Mammalia, Carnivora, Mustelidae. The transcript has 3 exons.